UGGAACGGACACAACCGCAGUGAC
Molecule: non-coding RNA, 24 nt
Filed under: Arabidopsis thaliana (thale cress)
Lineage: Eukaryota; Viridiplantae; Streptophyta; Magnoliopsida; Brassicales; Brassicaceae
Source: RNAcentral